GAAAGAAAAUAACCAUUUUAACCAUUUUAUUUUAGUAUAGAGAAAGGACCAAUCUGAAAUCUCCACCUCCACUAUUAACAGGACUCUGUGUCACAAUAACUGUUAGAGGCAUCCAAAAACAGCCACAAGGUCAUCCGUUAUUGUUGGUCAAAAGCCACAGCCCUACCUGAGGCUUUGAGAGAUGUGAACACCAAUAACUUUUCUUUUCCUGACUCCCUAAAUACCAAGAAAAGCAACUUCCUCAAAUGGUCAGAAAUAGAAAGUCACCAUGGGUAGUCACAGAAGACAGGUUCCAGCCUGGAGUGAGAGAUGGGCCGGGGCUCAAUGCCCAUCAAGUGCCUCUCAUCCACGGUCCUCACCCACACCCUCUCUUACAGAUACUGAACCAAGUUGGGUAGGGACUGUGAAGGGGCACUCCUAAGGCCACACAGCUCCAUAAGGAUGAGCAAGGUCUCUGUUCUUCUGUCUCUUCAGUCCCUACUUUGUCCACCACAAAAAAAAAAAAAAAAAUGGUAUUUGGAGGAAAAGGAGAAGAAAGGUAGAAACAGCCAGGAGAUGGCUAGGGUUGGGAGAAGGGAUAGAACUGCUCUGGAAUAAGGAAUCAAGUAGCAAGAAUGAUACAGUGUGUGCCAGAUGGGAAAGUUGGAUUAGGAGAGCACUUUGAAAGGUAAAGAAAACUGCUGGAGAAUUUAUGGGGCGUUUGACUUUUUCCAUAUGCAGAGUGUUCUUAAAACUAAAACUGGAAAAAAGCUGAAACAGAAUCUCACAGAUCUGGAGCCUGGGAAACUGGAGCAUCCCACAAAGACUACUUGGUCCCAUCCUGCAUCCCCUCAGAGAUGGGCACUCUUUUCUACCAGCAGCUGUGACCCAGAUGUUGACCUCGCAUGCUUUCACCCCUCCAACACCGAGUUCUGCUUGUGUCCCUGUUCCCACAGAGCUGACCGCCAGGCAGCUCUCAAGAGCAUCUGGCAUCUAUUGGACAGAACUCAGAAUGAGAGCCACCCAGAAACUUUCCCAAGUUGCUGGAAGACCCCCAAAGGGUGCCUCUUCACUCAGAACGGCUCCUGAUUGCAUACCACUUUAUACGGUUCUUCUGUGGCUUCAUUUAAAAAUAUGCCUAUUUGUAAUGGCUCUCUUUCCUUUCACUGCUCAUGUUUUCAGAGCGUAGUCUACGUGGUCUCUACUUCCUCAUCUUACAUUUAUUUCUCAGUGCCCUCAAAGAAGGUCACCAGGAAAACCCCAAGUGCCAAAUUCAAUGUUCUCGUUUUCUUACCUCACUGCCACGUUUGAUGUUACCUUUCCUUGAAAAUCCCCCCCUCCCCACCUCUGAGUCUCCUCCAUCUCUAACCACUGUUGAGC
Molecule: long non-coding RNA, 1359 nt
Filed under: Marmota monax (woodchuck)
Lineage: Eukaryota; Metazoa; Chordata; Mammalia; Rodentia; Sciuridae
Source: RNAcentral